RNAcentral lists this ribosomal RNA (468 nucleotides) under uncultured bacterium. Its description in RNAcentral is "partial 16S ribosomal RNA". It matches the Rfam family "Bacterial small subunit ribosomal RNA", at positions 28 to 507 of the family's 1533-position model. The record is from RNAcentral.
GACGAACGCUGGCGGCGUGCUUAACACAUGCAAGUCGAACGGAAAGGCCCUGCUGUUGUGGGGUGCUCGAGUGGCGAACGGGUGAGUAACACGUGAGUAACCUGCCCUUGACUUUGGGAUAACUUCAGGAAACUGGGGCUAAUACCGGAUAGGAGCUCCUGCUGCAUGGUGGGGGUUGGAAAGUUUCGGCGGUUGGGGAUGGACUCGCGGCUUAUCAGCUUGUUGGUGGGGUAGUGGCUUACCAAGGCUUUGACGGGUAGCCGGCCUGAGAGGGUGACCGGCCACAUUGGGACUGAGAUACGGCCCAGAGUCCUACGGGAGGCAGCAGUGGGGAAUAUUGCACAAUGGGAGGAAGCCUGAUGCAGCAACGCCGCGUGCGGGAUGACGGCCUUCGGGUUGUAAACCGCUUUCGCCUGUGACGAAGCGUGAGUGACGGUAAUGGGUAAAGAAGCACCGGCUAACUACGUG